UACGUAGGGACCGAGCGUUGUCCGGAAUCAUUGGGCGUAAAGAGCGUGUAGGCGGCCUGUUAAGUCUUGCGUGAAAUCUCGGGGCUCAACCCCGAGCGGUCGUGAGAAACUGGCAGGCUAGAGUGCGGGAGAGGAGAGUGGAAUUCCUGGUGUAGCGGUGAAAUGCGCAGAUAUCAGGAAGAACACCCGUGGCGAAAGCGGCUCUCUGGGACGGUACUGACGCUGAGACGCGAAAGCGUGGGGAGCGAACAGG
RNAcentral lists this ribosomal RNA (253 nucleotides) under uncultured bacterium. RNAcentral describes it as "partial 16S ribosomal RNA". It matches the Rfam family "Bacterial small subunit ribosomal RNA", at positions 524 to 776 of the family's 1533-position model. The record is from RNAcentral.